RNAcentral lists this unclassified non-coding RNA (369 nucleotides) under Hevea brasiliensis (rubber tree). Lineage: Eukaryota; Viridiplantae; Streptophyta; Magnoliopsida; Malpighiales; Euphorbiaceae. The record is from RNAcentral.
CAACGACACAGAGAGAGAGUGCCUCGAAAUCAAACUCCGGCGAGGAGCCAAACGCAAGACCCAUGUCUCAACUGGAGACAGGGUAUGAGAGGAGAGAGGGAGAAAAUUUUGGUGUAUUUGGCGGUUCGUUCGAAUUGCUGUUUGUUUGAGCUUCUGAGAUGGAGAAAGACAAUUUUAGGGUGAGGAGGAAGAUUCAUGGCCGGAGGUGGAGGAAAGGCAGAGGAGCCGCAGCCACAUCCGCCAAAGGAGCAGCUUCCAAACAUUUAUUAUUGCAUUACCAGUCCUUCCUAAUGGUGAAUUGACCGAAGUAAAUGGGGAUCAGUAUUUGAAAGCUUUGAGCAAGCUGAUCCCUCAACAACUAGAUUGCAU